GACGAACGCUGGCGGCGUGCUUAUCACAUGCAAGUCGAACGGAAAGGCCCUGCUUUUGUGGGGUGCUCGAGUGGCGAACGGGUGAGUAACACGUGAGUAACCUGCCCUUGACUUUGGGAUAACUUCAGGAAACUGGGGCUAAUACCGGAUAGGAGCUCCUGCUGCAUGGUGGGGGUUGGAAAGUUUCGGCGGUUGGGGAUGGACUCGCGGCUUAUCAGCUUGUUGGUGGGGUAGUGGCUUACCAAGGCUUUGACGGGUAGCCGGCCUGAGAGGGUGACCGGCCACAUUGGGACUGAGAUACGGCCCAGACUCCUACGGGAGGCAGCAGUGGGGAAUAUUGCACAAUGGGCGGAAGCCUGAUGCAGCAACGCCGCGUGCGGGAUGACGGCCUUCGGGUUGUAAACCGCUUUCGCCUGUGACGAAGCGUGAGUGACGGUAAUGGGUAAAGAAGCACCGGCUAACUACGUGCCAGCAGCCGCGGUGAUACGUAGGGUGCGAGCGUUGUCCGGAUUUAUUGGGCGUAAAGGGCUCGUAGGUGGUUGAUCGCGUCGGAAGUGUAAUCUUGGGGCUUAACCCUGAGCGUGCUUUCGAUACGGGUUGACUUGAGGAAGGUAGGGGAGAAUGGAAUUCCUGGUGGAGCGGUGGAAUGCGCAGAUAUCAGGAGGAACACCAGUGGCGAAGGCGGUUCUCUAGGCCUUUCCUGACGCUGAGGAGCGAAAGCGUGGGGAGCGAACAGGCUUAGAUACCCUGGUAGUCCACGCUGUAAACGGUGGGUACUAGGUGUGGGGUCCAUUCCACGGGUUCCGUGCCGUAGCUAACGCUUUAAGUACCCCGCCUGGGGAGUACGGCCGCAAGGCUAAAACUCAAAGGAAUUGACGGGGCCCCGCACAAGCGGCGGAGCAUGCGGAUUAAUUCGAUGCAACGCGUAGAACCUUACCUGGGUUUGACAUGGAUCGGGAGUGCUCAGAGAUGGGUGUGCCUCUUUUGGGGUCGGUUCACAGGUGGUGCAUGGCUGUCGUCAGCUCGUGUCGUGAGAUGUUGGGUUAAGUCCCGCAACGAGCGCAACCCUUGUUCACUGUUGCCAGCACGUUAUGGUGGGGACUCAGUGGAGACCGCCGGGGUCAACUCGGAGGAAGGUGGGGAUGACGUCAAGUCAUCAUGCCCCUUAUGUCCAGGGCUUCACGCAUGCUACAAUGGCUGGUACAGAGAGUGGCGAGCCUGUGAGGGUGAGCGAAUCUCGGAAAGCCGGUCUCAGUUCGGAUUGGGGUCUGCAACUCGACCUCAUGAAGUCGGAGUCGCUAGUAAUCGCAGAUCAGCAACGCUGCGGUGAAUACGUUCCCGGGGCU
This 1346-nucleotide ribosomal RNA is filed under the name uncultured bacterium. RNAcentral describes it as "partial 16S ribosomal RNA". It matches the Rfam family "Bacterial small subunit ribosomal RNA", at positions 28 to 1381 of the family's 1533-position model. The record is from RNAcentral.